GGUACACUGCUGCCAGGCCGAGGCUCGUGGGCAGAGGGUUUGGCAAUGCCUGUGCAUCGGCCCAGCUGGAGUGGCACCUGAGACAGAGCCAGGUCCUGGAGGCAGAGCCCUGGAUAGAGGACAGAAAUGACUGCUUUUGCUUCUACUGUUACUCUGGGACAAGAUCUCUUCUGCCUGACAAAGUGCCCUUCCGGGGGCAAGGAGGAGGGAGAGUUGCUGAUUAGCCACGCGGAGCUAUUGAGAGACCUAAGGACAAAAAUCAAGAUUGGAAUUUUCAGAGUGUUCAGCCAGCCGACGUUCAUUCCUUUACUGUUCACUCAGCUAACAUCUUUUAAGCAUCCUUUCAAUGAGCCUGAGCCUUCAACGAUGAGCAAGUCUCCCAUCAUUGCCUCCUCUUGGCAGAACCUGUCCAGCAGCCAGCUGAUAGAAUUACUGGUUGAAGCAGCCUGGGGAGCAGCCCCCCAAGAUACAGUGCAGUGCAAGGAAGUUGAGAACCAGCCUUGAAAGUGGACUCUCCAGCAGCAAAAUACCUCUUCACACCUACUGAAGAGCUAUAAUGAAAAAGAUCAAUCAAGCCAAAUGUUGGCAAGGAACGCUUUUCCAUAACUAAUGGUGUGUAUGAGAGUAAAAGUGCUUGGCACUUUUGGAAAACUGCUUGGCAGUCUCUGAUCGAGUUGGAUAGACACCUACCUAUGACCCAGCCAUUCUAUUCCCAAGGAUAUAUAUGCCCAAAGAGAAAUGAGAAGCUAUGUCCACAAGAAAGGCUUGUCCUAGAAUGGGAACAGCAGCACUGUGAGUAAUUGUCACAACAGUGGAAACAACCCAAAGAGUCCCCCAACAGGAAAAUGGAUUAAACUGUGGUUAAUUCAUACAAUGGAAUAUGCAUUAAAAUAGAAACAAACUACGGCUAGAUGCAAGGACAUGGAUGAAUCUCCAAGACAUCAUGCUGAGGGAAAUGGGCCAGCGUAACUGAGGAGAAACUGCGUGACUCCAUGUCAAGUACAAAGACAGGCAACACUCAUCUGUGGUCAUCAGGGAGGAGUGCCUGGCAAGGACACCAGGGAGACUUUCUGGGAUUGUGGAAAGGCUCUUGACCUUGAUCUGGGUGUUGAUAACACAGAUAUAUUUGACAAAACUCAUCAAUUGUACUUCUAGGAUCUGCGUAUUUCCUAUUCUAUGAAAAUGACACCUUAAUAAAGGGAGAAAAUGUAACACAAAUAAAAGACUUAGACCUUUGUCUCCCUUCCUCUUCCACCAGCCCAGCUCAGGUGCUCCUUGCAGGGCUGUGGCCGUCUCAUCCCUCAGCUGUCCCCAUCCAUGGCCCCUGCAGCUCUCCCUCCUUCUCAACCCCCGGUCCCCUGGCAACAGGGGCAGAUCCAUCUUGCCGAAGCAGCUGUUGGGGACAGCAAUUACCUCAGGACCUGGCGCCCAGAGUGCCCAGUUUAAAUCUCAGCCCUACCUUGUCCCAGCUGUGUCAUUGAGUUGAGCCAUGUCACUUCUCCUAUCAUCUGAAAAAUGGGCUAACAAGACCUUCAGAGGAUUGUUUGGGAAAUGCAAAUGAGGCAGAAUCAAGGAAAGAGCUUCUGGAAACGGGAAUUCGGCAACCAUAUGUAUUGCUUAUACCACUCAACCAUGGUUCACAUGGUUCACAGCAUGGUUCAUAGCAAGGGCCCGACCCCCACACAGUUGAAAAUCUGGGUAUGACCCCCCAAACUUAAUUACUGAUAGCCUGCUAUUAACCAGAAGCCUUACCAGUAACAUGGUCGUUUCAUACACUAUCUUUACAUGUAUCACACAUGUAUUCUUACAAUGAAGUAAUCUAGAGGAAAGAAAAUCUUAAGAAAAUCAUAAGGAAGGAAGAAAACACUUACAGAACUGUACCAUGUUGAAGAAAAUCUGUAUUUAAGUGGACCCAUGUAGUUCAAACCUGUGUUGUUCAGGGGUCAACUGUAUUUAAGAACUUUCCAUGGCUCUUGGGCAGCACUGGGGCAGACUGGAUCAUUGGUCCAAUUCUUUCCUCCUGGUAAUAGGAUUCUGCACCCAUACUCUGUGUCACGUGACUCCACUUUCCCACCGGGCUGAUGGCGGGCUUGGUCGCCUGACUGGUAAUGGCAUGUCAGUGGAUGUGAGCAGAGCAUAGGAUUAAAAAUGUUUGUGCUGUUUGGCUUGGUCUCUUGAACCUCUGUGCUUGCUGUGCUGGCCCAAGGAGAGCGUGGAGUGGUCUUGAGCCCAACCCACAGUCUGCGCGGAAGAAAAACAAAGCCUGUUGUAAACCAUGGAGUGCUCAUGUGUUGGGCUAGGCAGCAUUUCUGCGGUAAUGGCUGACUAAUGUAACCUCAAGGUCAUCCCUACGAAGUCUCCAUUCGCUUACCUCUCCAGCCCCACUUCCAACAGCUCAGCUCUAGCCAAACCAAUCCGUUCUGCAUCCCAUGAAACUUAGCAUUCCCUGUCACUCCCACUCGCCUCACUUAAUGUGCUGUUUUCCUUUCCUGUCUUUCCUCUCUCCCGAAUGCCGAAGGUUUCCUACCUCCACUGCUCCAGUCUCUAUGAGUCUAUACCAGCCAUGCCUAUCUUUCAAAAGCAAUGGGAGUCCCACCUCCCUUUGGACGCUUUCCUUCACUGCCCAACCCACCUGGCCCAGGGAACCCUCCCUCUGUUGAGCCCAUGCAGCCCUUCCAGUCUAUGUCUAUCAUGGCAUGCUGAGCAUCCCACGAAAUUUCGGCUUCAUCUUUCCAAAUGAAAGCAGUGUCCGUCAUCUGCCUGUAGCUUAGGAGUUUCUGUUCCCUAUGGAAUUGCUCUUUGGGCGAUACCUGCUGGUGAAGGAAGAAAUGAACCAACGAGGGGCGCCUGGGUGGCUCAGUGGGUUAAAGCCUUUGUCUUCGGCUCAGGUCAUGAUCCCAGGGUCCUGGGAUGGAACCCUGCACCAGGCUCUCUGCUCAGCAGGGAGCCUGCUUCCACCUCUCUCUGCCUGUCAAAUAAAUAAAUCUUAAAAAAAAAAAAAAAAAAAGAAAGAAAUGAACCAACGAGUGUAACUUGCCUCUGAACACCCAACUUCCCUGAAGUUCUGAUUUACAAGUCUAGCUCCAGGGCCCUUCUAGCCGGGGUGGAGAAAAGGCGGUGAAUACCACCCACCCGGCAUGACGGGAGAGGGCACAUCUGCCUCAUGGAGUCAAGUGGAAGAGAAGACUCUUCUCUUUCCCUGUCCCUAUCUCAUUCCUAUCUGUGGCUCUAUCUUACUCGCUGGCUGUGAUGACCUCCCAGACUGCGAGGGAGCAACAGUGCAGUUGCAAUCUAGACCGUCUUACUAAUCUUGGUUUUCAUCUUCGUGUGGGUGUCCAGUGCUUUGCAUUGUUGCUCAGUAAAUAAACCAGGCUCUGUUCAAGUGUGAUUGGAAAAUGAUUUUAUACUUGGCAGUUGGGGGUCCUGUCUUCCUGAGUUUAGAAAAAUUAAAAACACUCCAACACCAGUUAUUUUGGGUUUGGGGUGAUGAUGGCAAAUACCAGCACCUUUGGAGAGUUAAGGGGUCAAAUGGCAGAACUCAGCUGUUUGAAGGGGUCUUCUGAGUGGACUUGGGGCAUGUGUUAGAAAGCCCCUCUUCAGGGGCACCUGGGUGAUUCAGUCGUCGAGUGUCUGCCUUUGGCUCAGGUCAUGAUCCUGGGGUUCUGGGAUCGAGCCCCCGCAUCGGGCUCCCUGCUCAGUGGGGAGCCUGAUUCUUCCUCUCCCAUUCCCCCUGCUUGUGUUCCCUCUCUCUCUGUCUCUCUCUCUGUCAAAUAAAUAAAAUCUUAAACAAAAAAAAGAAAGUCCCUCUUCAGAAAGUUCGCCAUACUCACAUAACCACCGAAUGACAAAAACUUUGGGCUAAAAGGCCCUUCUUUCAAAGCUCAAGCAGUUGUUGGAAGAGAUGCAAACACCCACCUGAGUUCCCAAGAACUUGGCUGGGUGAUAUUCCAGGCAACAGGCAGAGGAGAAGAACAUUUGCUCAAGGUCAAGUUCCUAGAGCUGGGCUGGUGGCUGAGUGGGAGCUCCAGUCUAGGUCCAGAGAUGGGCCAGAGAAGGGCAACAGAACAGGGGUAGGUUUCAAGACAAAUGUUCCUCAUUCUGUACUUUCAGCUGAGACCCUGGGGCAUAGAGAGGUUAAGCAGUACCUUGAGCCCCCCUAUAGAUUCCUAGGCCUCAUAGAGGCAGGAAGGAGGAGGUGGGAGAAUCUGCUCCAGAGCCAGGCUGUGAUUGCCCUGUAGGGUGGGGCUGGGGACAGAGGAAGGCCGGGAAGAGAAGCCAGGAAAGGAGUGUGGGGAGAUGGGCC
This 4303-nucleotide long non-coding RNA is filed under the name Mustela putorius furo (domestic ferret). RNAcentral describes it as "lncRNA (ENSMPUG00000030800.1)". The record is from RNAcentral. Lineage: Eukaryota; Metazoa; Chordata; Mammalia; Carnivora; Mustelidae.